UACGGGGGGGGCAAGCGUUGUUCGGAAUUACUGGGCGUAAAGGGUUCGUAGGUGGCCUGCUAAGUCAGACGUGAAAUCCCUCGGCUUAACCGGGGAACUGCGUCUGAGACUGGCGGGCUUGAGUACAGGAGAGGAACGCGGAAUUCCACGUGUAGCGGUGAAAUGCGUAGAGAUGUGGAGGAACACCAGUGGCGAAGGCGACUCUUUGGCCUGUAACUGACGCUGAGGCGCGAAAGCGUGGGGAGCAAACAGG
This 253-nucleotide ribosomal RNA is filed under the name uncultured bacterium. RNAcentral describes it as "partial 16S ribosomal RNA". It matches the Rfam family "Bacterial small subunit ribosomal RNA", at positions 524 to 776 of the family's 1533-position model. The record is from RNAcentral.